UGAUUAUGAUGAGAACCCACUUCAUGGUCCUGUUUCUGAAAUAAAUGAUUUUGUAGAAAUUCUGAUUCC
RNAcentral lists this small nucleolar RNA (69 nucleotides) under Sciurus vulgaris (Eurasian red squirrel). RNAcentral's name for it is "Small nucleolar RNA SNORD18 (ENSSVLG00005003617.1)". It matches the Rfam family "Small nucleolar RNA SNORD18". From Rfam's summary of the family: U18 is a member of the C/D class of snoRNA which contain the C (UGAUGA) and D (CUGA) box motifs. It is encoded in introns of ribosomal protein L1 in Xenopus and human, and in introns of elongation factor 1 beta in yeast. Related snoRNAs in Arabidopsis and rice have been named R63 and Z106 respectively. The record is from Rfam by way of RNAcentral. Lineage: Eukaryota; Metazoa; Chordata; Mammalia; Rodentia; Sciuridae.